Molecule: ribosomal RNA, 497 nt
Filed under: uncultured bacterium
Lineage: Bacteria
Description: partial 16S ribosomal RNA
Rfam family: Bacterial small subunit ribosomal RNA
Source: RNAcentral
GAUGAACGCUGGCGGCGUGCCUAAUACAUGCAAGUCGAGCGAACAGACGAGGAGCUUGCUCCUCUGACGUUAGCGGCGGACGGGUGAGUAACACGUGGAUAACCUCCCUAUAAGACUGGGAUAACUUCGGGAAACCGGCGCUAAUACCGGAUAAUAUAUUGAACCGCAUGGUUCAAUAGUGAAAGACGGUUUUGCUGUCACUUCUAGAUGUAUCCGCGCCGCAUUAGCUAGUUGGUAAGGUAACGGCUUACCAAGGCAACGAUGCGUAGCCGACCUGAGAGGGGGAUCGGCCACACUGGAACUGAGACACGGUCCAGACUCCUACGGGAGGCAGCAGUAGGGAAUCUGCCGCAAUGGGCGAAAGCCUGACGGAGCAACGCCGCGUGAGGGAUGAAGGUCGUCGGAUCGUAAAACUCUGUUAUUAGGGAAGAACAAAUGUGUAAGUAACUAUGCACGUCUUGACGGUACCUAAUCAGAAAGCCACGGCUAACUACGUG